Molecule: ribosomal RNA, 253 nt
Filed under: uncultured bacterium
Lineage: Bacteria
Description: partial 16S ribosomal RNA
Rfam family: Bacterial small subunit ribosomal RNA
Source: RNAcentral
UACGUAGGGGGCAAGCGUUGUCCGGAUUUAUUGGGCGUAAAGCGCGCGCAGGCGGCUUGGCGCGCCCGACGUGAAAGCCCCCGGCUUAACCGGGGAGGGUCGUCGGGUACGGCCGGGCUUGAGGGCGGGAGAGGGUGGUGGAAUUCCCGGUGUAGUGGUGAAAUGCGUAGAGAUCGGGAGGAACACCUGUGGCGAAGGCGGCCGCCUGGGCCGACCCUGACGCUGAGGCGCGAAGGCGUGGGGAGCGAACGGG